CAUCGUUUGACCCCGGCGCUCUCUCUCUCUUCUGCCCUGGGCAGGCUUCGGCUACCACACGACUGCUGUCGGCCAGCCAUGGCCGCGCCUGGCCUCCACGCACCGAGUCGGCCUCACCUCGCCCCGGCCUCAACCCGCAAACGAUGUAGUCUACGAGUUGGUUGCCGAGCCGGUCCAGGAGCAGCAAGCAGGAGAGCAGCAAGAAGAACCAGUUGAGCAAGCUCUAGAAGAAGUUGCUAACCCGCUGACCUGCAAGGCAAGCCCCGGAGCAUAACCCCUAACUUAGAAAACCAUGCAAUGUCUGUUAUUAUGUAUUGUGCAUUUACGUUUUUAGAAGUUGUAUGGAACCUUAGUGUGCAUGAUUCUCCCUAGGUACCUAUGAGUCCUUACUAGUAUACAUAGGUCGUUACAAAUGCUUUGCUAAUUAGGAACUCGGUAGAAGUUGAGUGAUUUCAUGUCACUCGCGAAUAUAAGAUCUUGUUAUCAAUGGAAAAAGUACUUGGUAAUGUUCAA
This is a long non-coding RNA of Panicum hallii, 513 nucleotides long. RefSeq lists it as uncharacterized. The record is from RefSeq and is a predicted model, not a curated record. Lineage: Eukaryota; Viridiplantae; Streptophyta; Magnoliopsida; Poales; Poaceae. The transcript is spliced from 2 exons.